CUCUAUCCUAUCGUUUACUCCUUACCCCACCCACCUCCCUAUUUUCUCCAUAUAAGCCGACAUUUUCCCUGCUACCGUCAGUUCUGAGGAAGGGUCACUGGACCCGAAACGUUAACUCUGGUUUCUCUUCACAGAUGCUGCCAGACCUGCUGAGCUUUUCCAGCAAUUUCUGUUUUUGUUGUUUAUAACAAUUGAACUUGUUUAGAAAUGGAGGCAGUAAUUGUUGUUUAAAUAAAUGGCUGACUGUUUAACAGAUGGCAACAAUAUCAGCUACUGUUGUUUGAUCUCAAAUGCUGUCAGCCUAUUUGUAAUUACCCAGUGCAAGUCCUUAUCACUGUGCCCUUCCUGUUGGCUUCUUUGUUGACUAUCUGAUGUCGUCAUUCUACUGAGCUCUUCUUGCUCAACUCCACCAUCUUAUCUGUUGGCUUUUUUCCCAGUUAUGACCCACUUCCAGCAACUGCUGCCUGUACUGAUCCUCAGCAAUGCUUGCUUAAUCCCUGCUUGUUGAGAUUUUGUCACAUUACAGGCCGUGUUACUUUAGAUAAAAGCCUAGAAGUUUGUUGACAGUAUUGUAUUGGUAGCAUUGCACAUCAACAUUCUUCAGCCAUUUCGACACUAGCCUUAGUUUUAAAUGCAUGCAUGCCAUUAAUGCAUUAACUUUAAAAUUCUCACCAUCUCUUUCAGACCCGUCUGUGCUUUCAAUUAUGCCGAACAAGAUUUUCCUCACGGAUUGACAGAAUUCCGUCUGGGGUCAGAAGCCCACCCUUUGUGGGGAAUGAUAACCCAGUUGUGAUUUGCCCUGAAUUGACCCAAAUAAUGGCCGAAGGACUAGUUCACUGUCCAAUUAAGGACAGCAUGCAGGUUUUCAAAACUGCUGCUGGUUGCAAUUGUGGCCAGUCAGAAAGGUGGAGCUUCUCAGCAUGUGUGCAGUGUUGCCCACUCAGUCUGACACUGGGAGGCCACCUCCAGGCACCUGUACUGUUCCUCGUCUUCUUGAUUUGAUUUGAGUAUUCAUCACAAUUUUCUUCUCAUCGGCCCAAUUGCCAAUCGUGCACUGGGACUGUUCAGCUGCGUGUAAAUGAAGGCUGACCUUUCACUGAAAACAACAAAAUGCUGGAGAUCACAGCAGCAACCAGUGACAAUCAGUCUUCAAAGGAAAACCGAAGAAACUGACAGAUCCUUCAGAAACCUGUUUGAUAAUUAAAGAUAUUAGCAAAGAACUGCACACGCGCGGGCCAAAGCUGAUGCAGCAGAUGGAGCCGCACAAGCUGCACGCCAGGAAUCGGACAUUGCAAGGGGAGUUGCCAGGGAACUGUCACCAACCUUCUGCCAGCCAGGACUAGAAUACAUUAAGCAGAGGAUGCAGGAGGCAAUGGGAUACAAUGAGAAGAAGGAAGAGCCUCCACCUCCACAAGAGAAGAAAUCUUCUUCAGCAAAUAACAACAGUCCUCAUUUCUACAGGAAAGGUACAACUCCACCAUAUACUCCUGAACACAGUCCUGCCCCGACCCCACCUCCAUCACCACCAAUAUACAAGAAGACUCAAAAUACCACCUGGAAUAAAGGCUCUUCCAGCAGUGUUAACAAGGAUGUCUUGGGAGCGUCAGGGAAUAGAUCAUUGUCAAAAGGCAGCACCAAGAUGACUACAAAGCAAGGGAACGAGUGGAAGCAGCCCAAGUCAGCGGUUUACCCUGUCACAACUGCAGGCAAUGGACAGUUACAUAGUGCUUACCAUAGUUACCUUGUGCGCACAGAUGUAAAACUGCCACCAGAAGAGCCAGAGGAACAGGCUAACCCUUCACCCCUGGCGCUUGGACGGUUACCACCACCGCCAAAGCCAAUGCCUACAAAGUCACCUGUCAAGGAAAUUAAACCUGAGCCAAAAUUGAAGAAACAGUUUUCUGUUGUAUUGCCCGAACCAAAGAAACUAUCAAAAUCUCAAUCACAUGACGUGGAAGAAGUAGAAGAAAUUGUGGAGUCGAGUCCAAAUACCAUCUUGGUUAUCCUGGUUAUGCUGUUGAAUAUUGGUUUAGCUAUUCUUUUUGUCCAUUUUCUGACUUGACAAGAAUUUGCCAAGUGAAGUCAUGAAAACUAAGGGUAUUAGCCCCAAUUCUCUCCAGUUGUGCCAUCAGCCUUAUUAUUGACACCAGACCUGCUGAGUUACAGGGAAAGAGUCUUGGAAUUGGUGUGGGACUCAGGAAAGAUGAGACAUGGAAAUUAAGUCAGGGGCUGAUGUGGGCCCCAGUGAUGAUUUGCGGCUCUGGAUCCUCUGAAAACUGAAGCAAGUGGCCACGUCGUUGGAAAAAAUCUGCUGAACCAGCCUAACCACUGAAGUGCAUGGCUGCUCCAUCUGUUCUAGUGGAGUGUGACUUAACUGGAAAUGUACAGACUGCACUUUUGUUGAUGGACAUUAACAGCUGCCUUACUUUUUUACUGUCUCAACGUUUAGUUGGGAGAAGGGAACCGCUGCCAGAGGAAUGUGGUUGGACGAUUCUGUGCUGUGGAUGCAAUUUCCAGUUGUCUCUCUUAACGCAUUAGACAUACAUUAGCAGCAUCACUCAACCAGUCUUAUUCCAUUACUGGCUGCUCCUAACAUCAUGUACAAUGUUCUGGGAGAUCAUUUUGAAAACGUUCGCACACUUUAUGCAUGAAAACUAUGAUUUUUUUUUGUCACAGAUUAAACUUUUCUGUCCAACAUUUAGAGCAUUUGUUUAGAUCAAUCCGAGUUGAUUUCCUUUGCUUUCAGUGAUCGAACUAGGAGCCUACAUUCAGUUUAUGUGAUUACUGAAAUGCUGGUGACCAGUAACCCAAAUUAUCAUAUAUGUCAACACUGAGAAACCACCAGUUAAUGAAGGAAUUUGUUUGCAUGUAGAUUUUUUUUUCCAAAGUGAAGUAAAUCUUAUUGUGUUGAAUACAUUCAGGUAGAGCAUUGUAAUUUUAAUGUUAACAGAACUGAUGCCUUUAUAAGUCUUCAGAAAUUAUAAUGUUUACCUCAAACAUAUUGUUUUUUUUCUGGAAUGCUGGUUGAAUCUUUGUGUCUUAAUCAUUUUAAGUGACACUAAUUAAUGUAGUUAAGGAUUAUUUCUGUACCAUUACCUUGUAUCACUUUUCAUGUUCUUGUGUUGGCAUGUUUAUUUCAAAGGGUUGAGUAUUUGGUGUGGUUAAUUUUAGACGAAAACACUAGAUUUAUUUUAAUCAUAAAAAAUGCAAGGGCUGAAUAACUUAAAAGUAAAUUAUAUAUAUGUGUUGAAGAACGAUUUCGUAUUCCACAAGUACUGAAUUUAAAUGUAAACUGUAUGUUAGUUUGCAUGGUUUUAUUGCAAAACUUUGUCAUUAAUACCCAAAUUAAAUUAACAACAUGAAGCUGGCGGUUUGUGGAGUGUAUAAAUGCUACAUAAUUUAUUAUCUGAAAUCAGCCUGAUUUCAGGUCAGUAAUAGAUGGUGUUUUUUUGCAGAGGUAUUUUCAGAAUCCUUUGUGUGACCAGUGCGAAGUGUGAAGGAGAAAGUUCAAAGAGAUGAAAUAAAAAGAAUGAAAGACAAAUUGUUGCCAAUGUACAGCGAAUCUGACUAUGAUUUAAUUGGAAAUUAACACAAUAUGUCUUUGGGUCAGUGCAAAUGUAAUAAAAGCUUAUGUAAACCUUUUUGUCUGGCACAAAAAUCAAGAGUAGUUGGGAAUGUUUUUUUUGACAUGAAGUCCAUUUUAGUAAUUUAAUUUAAGAAAAGGAUUUUCUUAUAUAUUAAAAUCAUGAGCUUUUCUAAGGAGCAUGAGCCAGAAACUGUUGGGGUUUUUCUAAAUGUACACAACUCUAUUUUAGCAUGAACCCUUUUCUUCUUUUUUAAAUAAAUGACAUGCUACAUACUGCUUUAUAUUUAUCUAAUGAUGCUUCAAGUGGAUAACACUUGACAGUUGUCA
This is an RNA transcript of Rhincodon typus (whale shark), 3913 nucleotides long. It is a transcript of the gene named junctophilin 1b, with no coding region annotated. The transcript is spliced from 7 exons. The record is from RefSeq and is a predicted model, not a curated record. Lineage: Eukaryota; Metazoa; Chordata; Chondrichthyes; Orectolobiformes; Rhincodontidae.